RNAcentral lists this ribosomal RNA (116 nucleotides) under Colletotrichum tofieldiae. The record is from RNAcentral. Lineage: Eukaryota; Fungi; Ascomycota; Sordariomycetes; Glomerellales; Glomerellaceae.
AUACGACCAUACCUAUUGGAAAACUCGGGAUCCCGUCUGCUCUCCCAUAGAUAAGCCAGUGAGGGCCGGAUUAGUAGUUGGGUCGGUGACGACCAGCGAAUACCUGGUGUUGUAUG